UCUCUUGGUUCUGGCAUCGAUGAAGAACGCAGCGAAAUGCGAUAAGUAAUGUGAAUUGCAGAAUUCAGUGAAUCAUCGAAUCUUUGAACGCACAUUGCGCCCCCUGGUAUUCCGGGGGGCAUGCCUGUUCGAGCGUCAUU
Molecule: ribosomal RNA, 140 nt
Filed under: Umbilicaria krascheninnikovii
Lineage: Eukaryota; Fungi; Ascomycota; Lecanoromycetes; Umbilicariales; Umbilicariaceae
Description: 5.8S ribosomal RNA
Rfam family: 5.8S ribosomal RNA
About the family: 5.8S ribosomal RNA (5.8S rRNA) is a component of the large subunit of the eukaryotic ribosome.
Source: RNAcentral